This 492-nucleotide ribosomal RNA is filed under the name uncultured bacterium. RNAcentral describes it as "partial 16S ribosomal RNA". It matches the Rfam family "Bacterial small subunit ribosomal RNA", at positions 29 to 507 of the family's 1533-position model. The record is from RNAcentral.
AGUGAACGCUGGCGGUAGGCCUAACACAUGCAAGUCGAACGGCAGCACAGUAAGAGCUUGCUCUUACGGGUGGCGAGUGGCGGACGGGUGAGGAAUACAUCGGAAUCUACUUUUUCGUGGGGGAUAACGUAGGGAAACUUACGCUAAUACCGCAUACGACCUACGGGUGAGAGCAGGGGAUCUUCGGACCUUGCGCGAUUGAAUGAGCCGAUGUCGGAUUAGCUAGUUGGCGGGGUAAAGGCCCACCAAGGCGACGAUCCGUAGCUGGUCUGAGAGGAUGAUCAGCCACACUGGAACUGAGACACGGUCCAGACUCCUACGGGAGGCAGCAGUGGGGAAUAUUGGACAAUGGGCGCAAGCCAGAUCCAGCCAUACCGCGUGGGUGAAGAAGGCCUUCGGGUUGUAAAGCCCUUUUGUUGGGAAAGAAAAGCAGCAGGUUAAUACCCCGCUGUUCUGACGGUACCCAAAGAAUAAGCACCGGCUAACUUCGUG